Molecule: ribosomal RNA, 868 nt
Filed under: uncultured bacterium
Lineage: Bacteria
Description: bacterial SSU rRNA
Rfam family: Bacterial small subunit ribosomal RNA
Source: RNAcentral
ACACAUGCAAGUCGAACGAGAAUCUGCUGAAGGAGGAUUCGUCCAACGGAAGUAGAGGAAAGUGGCGGACGGGUGAGUAACGCGUGAGGAACCUGCCUUGAAGAGGGGGACAACAGUUGGAAACGACUGCUAAUACCGCAUGAAGCAUAGGGGUCGCAUGAUUCUUAUGCCAAAGAUUUAUCGCUUCAAGAUGGCCUCGCGUCUGAUUAGCUAGUUGGCGGGGUAACGGCCCACCAAGGCGACGAUCAGUAGCCGGACUGAGAGGUUGAACGGCCACAUUGGGACUGAGAUACGGCCCAGACUCCUACGGGAGGCAGCAGUGGGGAAUAUUGGGCAAUGGGCGCAAGCCUGACCCAGCAACGCCGCGUGAAGGAAGAAGGCUUUCGGGUUGUAAACUUCUUUUAAGAGGGAAGAGCAGAAGACGGUACCUCUAGAAUAAGCCACGGCUAACUACGUGCCAGCAGCCGCGGUAAUACGUAGGUGGCAAGCGUUGUCCGGAUUUACUGGGUGUAAAGGGCGUGCAGCCGGGUCUGCAAGUCAGAUGUGAAAUCCAUGGGCUCAACCCAUGAACUGCAUUUGAAACUGUAGAUCUUGAGUGUCGGAGGGGCAAUCGGAAUUCCUAGUGUAGCGGUGAAAUGCGUAGAUAUUAGGAGGAACACCAGUGGCGAAGGCGGAUUGCUGGACGAUAACUGACGGUGAGGCGCGAAAGUGUGGGGAGCAAACAGGAUUAGAUACCCUGGUAGUCCACACUGUAAACGAUGAAUACUAGGUGUGCGGGGACUGACCCCCUGCGUGCCGCAGUAAACACAAUAAGUAUUCCACCUGGGGAGUACGAUCGCAAGGUUGAAACUCAAAGGAAUUGACGGGG